Long non-coding RNA from Lagopus muta (rock ptarmigan), 2325 nucleotides. RefSeq lists it as uncharacterized. The transcript has 5 exons. The record is from RefSeq and is a predicted model, not a curated record. NCBI's taxonomy places the organism in Eukaryota, Metazoa, Chordata, Aves, Galliformes, Phasianidae.
GUUGACUGCCACUGGGAAGGAUCUCUUUCUGGAGAUCCCUCCUUGGUGAAGCUUUCCCCUGUGAACCUGGAAUCUUCUGAUACAGGAACAGCAUGGAACUGCUUAAAGGUGAAGUUUUCAGAAUAGCAGCAGAACAUAGCAUGAUGCCUCAAUUACUCUGCACUACCAGUGAAGCAGCAGCAAGGAGCGUGGAUCUUCUUUAGCAAUUCACGAGGACAUGCAGGCUUUAUGUAAUGACCACAUGGUGAUGUUACUUAGAGAUCCACAGAACAGUCCUCUCCUACCAGCCUUAUUAGUCUCCAGAUGUAAUCAGCAGUUCCUUUUCCACAGAAGCCUUAACAGAAAAGUUUCUAGAAAGCAUGACAGAAACCCACUUGAGAACAUUUUCUCCUGCAGAUGUUGUCAUCCCAAGGUGUAAUACAACAUCAAGAGGCAGAUGUUAGUUGAACCUUCCUGCCAAUAUUCUGUUACUGUUCAACAGAUGACAGCAGAGAGGCGGUCUGACAAAAUGACAUCUGACUUGAAAGUAUGUAUGAAGCAAAGGGGUGGAAUUGAAUUCCUCCACGUGGAAAAAAAUGACACCCACUGACAUUCAUUGAUGCUUGCUGAACGUUUAUGGAGACCAAACAGUGGAUGUGAGCAGCAGUAGUGACAGUGGGUUACCUCUGCUGAUGCUGAUUUUUACAAGUGCAGCAUGCAUGCUCUUGUUGGGGAUACUGCAGGCAAAAAUGUGAAGCUAAUGGUGGUGAAUGUGUUAAAAAAUGGUGUUUUGUAACUGAGAAUUUGUUCUACCAGUGUUACUGUGUUCAUUCUAUCUGUUGCAGUUUCUAUGGAAAUAAAUAGAGACACUACUUUCAGAGUGACCUACAUGUAUGUGGCCUAAGACAACUCCUUUCUUCAGGCAAGCUGAGAGGUUGGACAGCCGUGGUCUACAGUGUGUUCUCCUUAAGUAAAUUUCAUAGGCUCGUCUGAAAGCACUUUUUGCUUUUCCAUAAUGUAAGUCUGAAUUCUGCUGAAUGGAUGAUCACAAAUUAGGACCACCGUGUCGUUAUAUCACUCGCUCACAUCAUAAAUUAGCCACAGAUGGAAAACACUGAGGAGUAAUUUAUAAGCUUUCAACUCUAGGCCUCAUUGAGAUGUGCUGUAACUGUAUUGCAAUUAUCUGUUGGAGGAAAUAUGUAAGAACAUUCAUAACUGGGCCACUAGUGUGUUCCUGUCUGAGAACAAUGAAAAUGAUAAUUACUGUACAGGAGUUGUAUGCCAUAAUAGAGACUUCAUAUUGAGGGCUGAUAUCCAAAUGGAGGUUUUUGAUGCAGGCAUCUGCUAAUAUAAUAUUUACUACUUAACUUUGAUAUGGAAAUAAAUCAGCAAGUCUGAUUAAUCCCUAGACAAUUGUUAGGGCAAAAAGCAAAACAAAACAUUCCUCCCACCCCUUAAUGCCAACUAAAAUGAACAAUUAUACAAUGUAUUAUUACAACAAGAUUUCCACUUUAAAGUCAUUUACCAAUGGCCUUAAGUGCCAUAGCAAAAGGAUCAAAGUCUGCUACAGUAUGAUCAAAGAUCAAGAUGCACAUCCAUUCAAAUAAAUGCAUAUUCUUUAUCAAUUACCUAAUACGUAUCCCUAGUUCCAGACACACAUAGACUCAUAUUUAAAUAAAUCUUGGUGGCAAUUGAUUGAUCAUAAGUGUAUCCACAGUGCAGUGGCUUAAGCAUAUGCAAAAAUAUCUACAGGAAUGGGAAAUUAAUUUUCAGCAUAAAUCUAAUCAUAUGUUAUGCAAAAGUAUUAAGGAGAGUAGUUUGACUUUCCUAAAAUUUGUUUUUAAAAGGAUUCUAUGUCAUUUUGCACAAUUCUUAGUGUCUGCAUACACAAACACAUGUAUAUUACCAUUUUAAGGAGAUGUGUACACAAAUGCAAAAAAUAAAUACAUGCGUAUCUACAUACUGAUUACUUAACUACUCAGCAAUUAAAUGCAUGGUUGUGGCUUAGUGCAUUUUUCUAAUACAUGCAAAGCACACAAUAUAUAUUACUAUGUUGUAAUAUUAGUAGGAAUUAGGAAGAAAUAGCAGAAGAUUUUUAUCAUGAAAGAGUUGGCACUAAUAAAGAGAAAUAAAUAGCUGAAAAUUUGAAUUCUUCCCUAGCAACUAUGAUGUGUAAUUUAGUCCCACUCCCUUCACCAUGUUAAUGACUUUAAAUUCAGAAAUUCAUGUACAAAUAUUGCCACCAGGCAUUGGUCAGUAUUUCAGCUUUGUGUGCUAAUCUAAUCUCUCCCGCCCAUAUACAGAGUCAAACUUCAAGCUUUACUGCUUCUUCAUGUCUCUAUGGUA